GCAGAAGUACUCAAGUGGCUGAAGAGGUGCCCCUGCUAAGGGUAUAGGCCGUUUACGCGGUGCGAGGGUUCAAAUCCCUCCUUCUGCG
Molecule: transfer RNA, 88 nt
Filed under: Clostridium sp. SS2/1
Lineage: Bacteria; Bacillati; Bacillota; Clostridia; Eubacteriales; Clostridiaceae
Also listed under: 1 other name
Description: tRNA-Ser
Rfam family: tRNA
About the family: Transfer RNA (tRNA) molecules are approximately 80 nucleotides in length. Their secondary structure includes four short double-helical elements and three loops (D, anti-codon, and T loops).
Source: RNAcentral